ACGAGUUAGGGUCUCUCUGGCCCGACCUCCCAACCCUUUGUCUACUUGACCAUCGUUGCUUCGGCGAGCCCGUCCUCACGGACCGCCGGAGGGAUCUUUACUGGCCCUCUGGUCCGCGCUCGUCGGUAGCCCAACCUUUAAAAUCUUUAACUAAACGUGCCUUAAUCUAAGUACAAUUAUUAAAUAAAAGCA
Molecule: unclassified non-coding RNA, 192 nt
Filed under: uncultured fungus
Lineage: Eukaryota; Fungi
Also listed under: 1 other name
Description: sequence contains ITS1, 5.8S rRNA gene
Source: RNAcentral